This 429-nucleotide ribosomal RNA is filed under the name Streptococcus anginosus. Its description in RNAcentral is "bacterial SSU rRNA". It matches the Rfam family "Bacterial small subunit ribosomal RNA", at positions 28 to 438 of the family's 1533-position model. Lineage: Bacteria; Bacillati; Bacillota; Bacilli; Lactobacillales; Streptococcaceae. The record is from RNAcentral.
GACGAACGCUGGCGGCGUGCCUAAUACAUGCAAGUAGGACGCACAGUCUAUACCGUAGCUUGCUACACCAUAGGCUGUGAGUUGCGAACGGGUGAGUAACGCGUAGGUAACCUGCCUAUUAGAGGGGGAUAACUAUUGGAAACGAUAGCUAAUACCGCAUAACAGUAUGUAACACAUGUUAGAUGCUUGAAAGAUGCAAUUGCAUCGCUAGUAGAUGGACCUGCGUUGUAUUAGCUAGUAGGUAGGGUAAAGGCCUACCUAGGCAACGAUACAUAGCCGACCUGAGAGGGUGAUCGGCCACACUGGGACUGAGACACGGCCCAGACUCCUACGGGAGGCAGCAGUAGGGAAUCUUCGGCAAUGGGGGGAACCCUGACCGAGCAACGCCGCGUGAGUGAAGAAGGUUUUCGGAUUCGUAAAGCUUCUGUU